Molecule: long non-coding RNA, 3987 nt
Organism: Cucumis melo (muskmelon)
Lineage: Eukaryota; Viridiplantae; Streptophyta; Magnoliopsida; Cucurbitales; Cucurbitaceae
Exons: 6
Source: RefSeq, a predicted model, not a curated record
UUUUUUACUUCUGAACGCAUUAGCUCUAGCCUUGUUCUACCCCCAAAAUUUGAAAGCUAGUAAGGUCUUCAUUGCCAAAAUAACGUUAAAAGAUUGCAAUAGAGAAGUUUACAAAAGAAAAGGUUUGAGAUAAAAUUUGCUCACAUAGUAAAGAGUUUCUAUUGUGAGCAAAUUUGCUCACAGAAACAAGAAACAGGAAACAAAAACGUUACCAAACGGGCCCUAAGUGUCUUUAAGUGGGUACAUGGUUAUCAUCACUGAAGCCAUUGAACAAACAUAUCAAAGGAAAAGAAACAAACAAAGUUGGAUAAAAUGCGUUAAGUAGAGAUGUCAUUAUAUAAAUUUACUUUACAAAUGCAUUCCAAAUGUUUACAAGGGUUGAAAAGAGAUGUUAAUAGAAUCCAACAAAAGACACCCCUGAAUUUAUUUUUCAACCACAUUGUCAUCAUGGUGUUGCGGCAGGAGUUAAUUGCCUAGAAAGUUGAGGGGUUGUUGAAGAGUUUGCAGAAUGAUAAGAGUAAAGCAGGUACACGUUAAACAUAUACAUCAUGCACGUAGUUCAUCAACCCUCAAAACUGGUCUUCUUGCCUAUGAACAUGUUGCCACAUUAGUUUUCAGUCUUUUUCAAGGUGCUGCAAGAUGCACUGAUGUUGUCGUUGAAGUUUACUAAUUUUCUCUAAUUGAUGCAGACCUAAAUCUUGUAGCACUAUCUGUUCUUAUGCAAAAUAAGCAUGGCGUUGAACAAAUGUUUCAUGCCAUUGUUGGAACCUCUAGUGUUGCAUCAUCAAAGCAUCCUAGUUGGUUGAGAUCGUGACUAGUUAAUGCGUUAAGGGUUCGAGGAUCUCACCAUGAAGUGUUGAGGGACUUCUUGGCAUUGAGUAUUGACAUUAUCAGAUGUGACCUAAUGUGUCUUACCAAUAUCAGUCUUUGGCACACUUGUGUUUGGAUUAAGUCGAUCAUCAACAUGUGUUGAAUCGUACGGCAAGGAUGGGAAAUUGAUAGACUCCUCAGGUUUUGAAGUCUUAAGUAAGGGAUUCUCGUGUGGUGGGGGAGUUAUGACAACAGGCGAUAAAGGUAAAAGAUUUUAAGAUUCUAGAGCUUUUCUUGGGGUGGGCACUGGGAUUAAGAUAGAAGAAAAAUGAUCUGUGGAAGUUUUGAUAGAUUGGUCUUAAGAUGAUGAGGAUGAGGGUAGGAAGACAUCUUUUUCAAAGGAUCUAAUUCCUCCAAUUUCUUCAAGAAAGAGUGAUAUAGUCUCAUCCUCCAAUUUCUUUAAGAGAGAGUGAUAGAGUCUCACCCUCCAAUUUCUUCAAGAGAGAGUGAUAUAGUCUCAUCCUCCAAUUUCUUUAAGAGAGAGUGAUAGAGUCUCACCCUCCAAUUUCUUCAAGAGAGAGUGAUAUAGUCUCAUCCUCCGAUUUCUUUAAGAGAGAGUGAUAGAGUCUCACCCUCCAAUUUCUUCAAGAGAGAGUGACAAAGCUCAUCCUACAAUUUCUUCAAGAGAGAGUGAUAGAGUCUCAUCCUCCAAUUUCUUCCAGAGAGAGAGUGAUAGAGUUUCGAAAGGCAAGGAAGAUAGAUCCAUAAACUGUGGUGGUAAUUCUUUGGAUGUGGGGGACAAUGGAAUGAUGGUAAGGGCUACAAAGGUUGAUUUAUCAGUCUCUUUAACCUCUUCAUUACUAGUGGUUGCCUUAAUCAGUUUUCUUCAUUUGGUGAAUGAUUCACGCGGUGAAUGAGAGGAGGAUGCUACCAUUUGAUCUUUUUAUUUAUUACCGGUGCAUCUUCAAAAUAGUUCAUGUCAUACUUCAACAAUAUUUUCAACACAUGAUGCAUUUCAAUAUUUUCAACUAUUAAGGGAAGAAGCAACUGAACUUUCUUAUUUGUGAAGACUCCUUUAAUUUGAACGGCCAGAAUGCAUCUAAUGUCCAUUGGGGUGCACCACAUGAUGUAAUAGAUGGUCAUCACUUUGUCUAAGGACACCCAUUUAUCAUGUGUUAUAGGGAGUCACUACAAAUAAUUGGGGUUCUUCCAAUGCACAAACCCACGUUGGCGAAACUGACAUCGGAAGACAAGUGUUUUCCCGACGCCAUAUCCCCUAUGCCAGUAAAGUUUGCAUACUCAGACGCUGUGAGAACGAUGUCGAGCUAAGGUAGGCAUAUAUUGAUGUGGAUAACAAUAACGUUGAGGAAUGUGUUACAAUUAAAUAUAUAUAUAUUUGUUUUUCUCCAAAUCCUUUUGAGAGACUCGGGAUAACCUUUCGUAUUAUCGACGCUUGUGAACAAGGUGUCGAAGAACAUCAAAAAUAUUAUUUAAUCGUCACACUUUCCACAACCCCAGUUAGUAGACGUCGGGACUGGGGCUCUAUUUGCCGACAUUUUUAUAUCCAGCGUCGGGAGAUAGGAAAUAAUUAAAUAAUAUGUUUGCUUUCCCCCGAUAGGACAUGCACAAUGUCAGGAUAGAGGAUAAUCUAUCCCGACGUAUUACUAAAUGCGUUGGGAGUAUUGUUAAAUUAAACAAUACCGACGUGUUACUAAUGACAUCGGGAAUGGAUGUCUUCUCCCGAUGUUUUCGUGGUGCAUCGGAAGUUCCCUUAUAAAAAGAACUCUUUGAGUUCUAUAAAUCACAGAAACAAAAAAGAGAAAGAUUUAAGAAUGAGAGAGAGGUCGAGAAGAAAAAGUCCGUCUACCUGCCGCUUGCCAUCGUCCGUCGUCUUUGUUGCCACCACUCCUAACUCAGAGAGGUUUCAAAGGGUAGAAAGUUGAGAAAGGAAGAAGAAGAAGUUCAAAAAUUGUAGGUUGAAGAAGACAAGGAGUUUGCAAGACAAACUUCUCUAUAGUUCAUUAAGCACAUCUCUGGUAUUCUGAUCGGUUUGAGCUACACAAAAUGAAUUAAGAGUUAAAUUGUAGGGACAAGUUAAAGGGGUCGUGGUGUACGCGAUUAUUGGAGCGGUUGUGUUUCGAGAGACAUCUGAGAUUAUAUACAGGGAAUCAGAUUUAUAUGUCUUGAGGUUACAUUCCGUUGUUGACGUUGAGUGUACUCUGUGACAACGUUACUGUCAUAAGUGCUUGGUGAGCCCUAUUACGACAAAGACGAUGAGAGUGCUGGACGGGUCCCACUACAUCAUAGAACUAAUAAACGUUGGUUGUACUGGGCGUGUCCUACACAACGUAGAGAUCGAGUUCCCGGUGCCUGAUAAACUGCCUUAGUCUGUUGAAGCUCCAAUAUCGAUUGCCAGUACGUGGUUAGAGUUGUGCAUAGAGUCUGUUGUGUUAUGAUGUAUAUAUUUGUGUAUGAUAUAGAUACUCUACAGUUUGUGUACAUUUUAGGAGCUGCGGUUGUGUAAACCUUUGUUGGUUAUGUUUUGGUUAAGGUGUCUCCAGGUUUACUUGCGGAAUCAGUUAUUUCCAGGCUACACUUCACGUAUGUAUAUGAUUAGUUUAGGUUUCGCUGUGUUGUGUUGCAUGUAUAGUAGUUUAUAUACUAGAUUAGCAAGUUUAUCACGUUAAUAAUUUCAGCAGAGUCGACAGAUAUCGAUAGAGAAAAGCAUUGUUGGUCGGCUUCACGUCGUCUUUCGGUUUAAGCUAGCAGUUAUGGAAGCUUAUUCAGUGCAAACUUAAGAUUGAAUAUGUUAGUAUUUAUGAGGGUUUGAAGUUGUGUUAAGUAGCUUGCAUUACAAGAAGAAGGGGGUCUACAGACGUAAAGAUGCGUUGGCAGAAGCCAAGACUGCGUCGGGAGAGGCUACGUCGACAAGAACAUCGUGAAAGGCACUCCUGAUGCGCGAAUGGGAUGAUGUCGGCAAAGGGGUUACUAUCAACCAUUGUUCGUCGACAUGGUUAACUCGUCGGCAGUAGGGAUCUGUCGACGUUUGGUAAUGAUGUCAUAAAUAGGUUACUGUCGACGUCAUUAAGUGAGUUGGCGUACAUGAACCACCAACGCGACAUUGGCAGACCUUCUAACGACAUCGCAUCGACAGAUCGACCAUUUGCGAUGCAUAAC